CAUCAAUUAAGGAAUCGUUGUACGAACCUCAGAACAUCAAUCGGUGUACUUGGCGGAAGAAGUGGAGGAUUAACAAGAGAAGGUGGUGAACAGGCAGUGGUUGUUGGAAUUCCUCGUUUUUUAAUUGACCAUACCUGGGAAAACUUUUUGGCCUGGCGUAUUAACUGAUGAUCCGUAAUCAGAGCUUUGGAUUGGCGAAUACGAGUCGAUGCUAAACUAGGAGCAGGGCUGGGAUCUAGGCAAAGAGGACCCUGUGUUGCAGCCACAAGGUGCGACUCCAAGACUAAUCUCUCUUCGUGACUCCAAUCUCCGUCGCUUGUUAAAGUAGAGACGUCUGAGA
This 340-nucleotide unclassified non-coding RNA is filed under the name Athalia rosae (coleseed sawfly). RNAcentral describes it as "misc RNA ENSAEAG00005006185.1". Lineage: Eukaryota; Metazoa; Arthropoda; Insecta; Hymenoptera; Athaliidae. The record is from RNAcentral.